UGAGGAAUAUUGGUCAAUGGGGGCAACCCUGAACCAGCCAAGUCGCGUGAAGGAUGAAGGUCUUAUGGAUUGUAAACUUCUUUUACACGGGAAUAAAGUGGGGGACGUGUCCCCCUUUGCAUGUACCGUGUGAAUAAGGAUCGGCUAACUCCGUGCCAGCAGCCGCGGUAAUACGGAGGAUCCGAGCGUUAUCCGGAUUUAUUGGGUUUAAAGGGUGCGUAGGUGGUUUGAUAAGUCAGCGGUGAAAGUUUGCAGCUUAACUGUAAAAAUGCCGUUGAAACUGUCGGACUUGAGUGUAAAUGAGGUAGGCGGAAUGCGUGGUGUAGCGGUGAAAUGCAUAGAUAUCACGCAGAACUCCGAUUGCGAAGGCAGCUUACUAAGCUACAACUGACACUGAAGCACGAAAGCGUGGGGAUCAAACA
This 422-nucleotide ribosomal RNA is filed under the name uncultured bacterium. Its description in RNAcentral is "bacterial SSU rRNA". It matches the Rfam family "Bacterial small subunit ribosomal RNA", at positions 355 to 774 of the family's 1533-position model. The record is from RNAcentral.